CCAUAGUCCACACUACCUCCUUAUAAAUUCAUACUCCGUAGUUUUACACGUCUUGCAAUAAAUCGAAAACCAUGCAAGUUCUUAAACCCCCAAAGAACUAUUAAGAAGAAUGAAUGAUACAGGAUAUAACAUAGUAUGCCAAAAAGAAGAGGUUUAAUUUUCAUAGUCUCUCAAUCUAACAAAACAUAAUAUACUGAAUCAUUUUAUACACACACAUCCUCAGUUACUCAGAAUUAGGAACUCAACUUCAAAAUAUAGUCAGAGAUA
Molecule: long non-coding RNA, 267 nt
Organism: Ipomoea nil (Japanese morning glory)
Lineage: Eukaryota; Viridiplantae; Streptophyta; Magnoliopsida; Solanales; Convolvulaceae
Exons: 3
Source: RefSeq, a predicted model, not a curated record